RNAcentral lists this ribosomal RNA (159 nucleotides) under Kindbergia praelonga. Its description in RNAcentral is "5.8S ribosomal RNA". It matches the Rfam family "5.8S ribosomal RNA". Rfam says of the family: 5.8S ribosomal RNA (5.8S rRNA) is a component of the large subunit of the eukaryotic ribosome. The record is from RNAcentral. Lineage: Eukaryota; Viridiplantae; Streptophyta; Bryopsida; Hypnales; Brachytheciaceae.
AAACAACUCUCAGCAACGGAUAUCUUGGCUCUUGCAACGAUGAAGAACGCAGCGAAAUGCGCUACGUAGUGUGAAUUGCAGAAUUCCGCGAAUCAUCGAGUCUUUGAACGCAAGUUGCGCCCGAGGCUUGUCCAAGGGCAUUUCCGCUAGAGCGUCACC